RNAcentral lists this ribosomal RNA (1399 nucleotides) under uncultured bacterium. RNAcentral describes it as "16S ribosomal RNA". It matches the Rfam family "Bacterial small subunit ribosomal RNA". The record is from RNAcentral.
UUCGCCCUUAGAGUUUGAUCCUGGCUCAGGACGAACGCUGGCGGCGUGCUUAACACAUGCAAGUCGAACGGAGUGCCUCGGAAAGAGAUUUCGGUCAAUGGAAGAGGAUACUUAGUGGCGGACGGGUGAGUAACGCGUGAGGAACCUACCUCUCAGAGGGGGACAACAGUUGGAAACGACUGCUAAUACCGCAUAAUAUAUCUGUAUCGCAUGGUAUGGAUAUCAAAGAUUUAUCGCUGAGAGAUGGCCUCGCGUCUGAUUAGCUAGUUGGUAGGGUAACGGCCUACCAAGGCGACGAUCAGUAGCCGGACUGAGAGGUUGGCCGGCCACAUUGGGACUGAGAUACGGCCCAGACUCCUACGGGAGGCAGCAGUGGGGAAUAUUGGGCAAUGGGCGCAAGCCUGACCCAGCAACGCCGCGUGAAGGAAGAAGGCUUUCGGGUUGUAAACUUCUUUUGACAGGGAAGAGCAGAAGACGGUACCUGUCGAAUAAGCCACGGCUAACUACGUGCCAGCAGCCGCGGUAAUACGUAGGUGGCAAGCGUUGUCCGGAUUUACUGGGUGUAAAGGGCGUGUAGCCGGGCUGACAAGUCAGAUGUGAAAUCCGGGGGCUCAACCCCCGAACUGCAUUUGAAACUGUUGGUCUUGAGUAUCGGAGAGGCAGGCGGAAUUCCUAGUGUAGCGGUGAAAUGCGUAGAUAUUAGGAGGAACACCAAUGGCGAAGGCGGCCCGCUGGACGACAACUGACGGUGAGGCGCGAAAGCGUGGGGAGCAAACAGGAUUUAGAUACCCUGGUAGUCCACGCUGUAAACGAUGGAUACUAGGUGUGCGGGGAGUGACCCCCUGCGUGCCGCAGCUAACGCAAUAAGUAUCCCACCUGGGGAGUACGAUCGCAAGGUUGAAACUCAAAGGAAUUGACGGGGGCCCGCACAAGCGGUGGAUUAUGUGGUUUAAUUCGAUGCAACGCGAAGAACCUUACCAGGGCUUGACAUCCUACUAACGAAGUAGAGAUACAUUAGGUACCCUUCGGGGGAAGUAGAGACAGGUGGUGCAUGGUUGUCGUCAGCUCGUGUCGUGAGAUGUUGGGUUAAGUCCCGCAACGAGCGCAACCCUUAUUGUUAGUUGCUACGCAAGAGCACUCUAGCGAGACUGCCGUUGACAAAACGGAGGAAGGUGGGGAGGACGUCAAAUCAUCAUGCCCCCUAUGUCCUGGGGUACACACGUAAUACAAUGGCGGUCAACAGAGGGAUGCAAAACCGUGAGGUGGAGCGAACCCCUAAAAGCCGUCCCAGUUCAGAUCGCAGUCUGCAACCCGACUGCGUGAAGUCGGAAUCGCUAGUAAUCGCGGAUCAGCAUGCCGCGGUGAAUACGUUCCCGGGCCUUGCACUCACCGCCCGUCA